RNAcentral lists this ribosomal RNA (254 nucleotides) under uncultured bacterium. Its description in RNAcentral is "partial 16S ribosomal RNA". It matches the Rfam family "Bacterial small subunit ribosomal RNA", at positions 524 to 777 of the family's 1533-position model. The record is from RNAcentral.
UACGAAGGGGGCUAGCGUUGCUCGGAAUCACUGGGCGUAAAGGGUGCGUAGGCGGGUCUUUAAGUCAGGGGUGAAAUCCUGGAGCUCAACUCCAGAACUGCCUUCGAUACUGGAGAGCUCGAGUCCGGGAGAGGUGAGUGGAACUGCGAGUGUAGAGGUGAAAUUCGUAGAUAUUCGCAAGAACACCAGUGGCGAAGGCGGCUCACUGGCCCGGUACUGACGCUGAGGUGCGAAAGCGUGGGGAGCAAACAGGG